RNAcentral lists this unclassified non-coding RNA (381 nucleotides) under uncultured bacterium. RNAcentral's name for it is "contains 16S-23S intergenic spacer region". The record is from RNAcentral.
UCGCGGCUUAUCACCGGCAGUCGCCUUAGAGUGCCCAACUAAAUGAUGGCAACUAAGGCCGAGGGUUGCGCUCGUUGCGGGACUUAACCCAACAUCUCACGACACGAGCUGACGACAGCCAUGCAGCACCUGUGCUCCCGCCCCUUGCGGGAAGGAAGUCAUCUCUGACGACCAUACGGGGCAUGUCAAAGGCUGGUAAGGUUCUUCGCGUUGCCUCGAAUUAAACCACACGCUCCGCUGCUUGUGCGGGCCCCCGCCUAUUCCUUUGAGUUUUAACCUUGCGGCCGUAGUCCCCAGGCGGUGAACUUAAUGCGUUAGCUGCGGCACUGAUCGGGUCAAUCCGACCAACACCUAGUUCACAACGUUUAGGGCGUGGACUAC